GAAAUGCGAUAAGUAAUGUGAAUUGCAGAAUUCAGUGAAUCAUCGAAUCUUUGAACGCACCUUGCGCUCCUUGGUAUUCCUUGGAGCAUGCCUGUUUGAGUAUCAUGAAAUCUUCAGAGUAAAUCUUUUGUUAACUCAAUUGGUUUCUACUUUGGUAUUGGAGGUCUUUGCAGCUUCACACCUGCUCCUCUUUGUUCAUUAGCUGGAUCUCAGUGUUAUGCUUGGUUCCACUCGGCGUGAUAAGUUAUCUAUCGCUGAGGACACUGUAAAAGGUGGCCAAGGUAAAUGCAGAUGAACCGCUUCUAAUAGUCCAUUGACUUGGACAAUACUUUUAUGAUCUGAUCUCAAAUCAGGUAGGACUACCCGCUGAACUUAAGC
Molecule: unclassified non-coding RNA, 378 nt
Filed under: plant metagenome
Description: partial contains 5.8S ribosomal RNA, internal transcribed spacer 2, and large subunit ribosomal RNA
Rfam family: 5.8S ribosomal RNA (bases 1-105)
Source: RNAcentral